UACGUAGGGGGCAAGCGUUGUCCGGAUUUAUUGGGCGUAAAGAGCGUGUAGGCGGCCCGAUAGGUCAGCUGUGAAAACUCGAGGCUCAACCUCGAGACGUCGGUUGAAACCAUCUGGCUAGAGUCCGGAAGAGGAGAGUGGAAUUCCUGGUGUAGCGGUGAAAUGCGCAGAUAUCAGGAAGAACACCCGUGGCGAAGGCGGCUCUCUGGGACGGUACUGACGCUGAGACGCGAAAGCGUGGGGAGCAAACAGG
This 253-nucleotide ribosomal RNA is filed under the name uncultured bacterium. RNAcentral describes it as "partial 16S ribosomal RNA". It matches the Rfam family "Bacterial small subunit ribosomal RNA", at positions 524 to 776 of the family's 1533-position model. The record is from RNAcentral.